This 1006-nucleotide long non-coding RNA is filed under the name Cicer arietinum (chickpea). RNAcentral describes it as "long non-coding RNA (CARI_LNC001462)". The record is from RNAcentral. Lineage: Eukaryota; Viridiplantae; Streptophyta; Magnoliopsida; Fabales; Fabaceae.
UAUAAGUUAAGAAUUAGUAUAUUAAGAUGAUUUGACCCGAUGCACAUAUAUAAGUAUAAAAAGUUUACAUAUAUAUAUUUGUCAAGAAUUAAGAAGUAAGAAAUAAUGUUUUUAUUAUUAAGAUUUUUCCCUUACCUUACAAUGUUGGAUUAAUAAGUUAUUAAUAUUUAUAAAUAUCAAUCUUUCAUCUUUAUUUCUUCUAAACUUUCUUUUAAAACAAUAAUCCCUAAUUUUUUUUUAAUAGUUCCCAAAUCUUUUGUGUUAGAGUGUUGGGUUUUCUCAAUUAAACUUAUAUAAUGGUUGCACGUAAAUGAUUUGGAUUAAAAAAAUUAUCAAUUAUUAUUCUCCCUUUCAUUUUUCUGCCACUAAUAUUGUUAUUUCUUAUUCUAUUCAAUUGUUGUCUCUUCCUUUUUCCUCAAAUUAUUUGCUACUUUUCUGCUUCACGCUCUUAUUUCAGUGCCACCUUUUGGUGUUUUUUUGCCACUGCACACUUCAGCAAAAUUGUAUGAGUCCGUUUUGGUGGUUGCUUUUCAGGUGAGAGAUAUUUUAUUUUAUUGGCUUUCGAAUGUCUAAAUGUUCUUUUUUAAAAUAUGUUAUUUGUAAGAUAUGUAAAAUUGUAAAAUUGUAAAAUAUGUUACACGUUCCCACACUCUCUCAUAAUCUUAUAUUUAUUUGUAAGCUUACCAAGGAUCAUAAUUAUGCAGUAAUUUUUUUUUUAUUUUCAUUGUACUUUUCAAGAUCUUGCAACAAAGAAAACGAUUGCACUUCUGAAGGAACAAAGAAUGUUGUACUAUUUGUUUGGUAAAAGAACUUGCCAGAAGGUAUUGUCUUCGUCUCUCCAAUCUCAGUCGAACUCUCAUGUGUCACAAGAUGUCUCUAGCACAAGCAUCUUGUUCGUCCUCCUUUUUUUCUUGAUGAGGUCUUUGUUUCCUUCUUUGUUUAUAAAACAAUUUAUUGAAUCAUGUAAGUGUGAUGUUUGUAACACCCUAAUUUAUUGUUAUACCUU